RNAcentral lists this non-coding RNA (90 nucleotides) under pig gut metagenome. RNAcentral's name for it is "Glycine riboswitch". It matches the Rfam family "Glycine riboswitch aptamer", at positions 8 to 87 of the family's 94-position model. From Rfam's summary of the family: This family represents the bacterial glycine riboswitch. Glycine riboswitches usually consist of two metabolite-binding aptamers domains with similar structures in tandem. The aptamers cooperatively bind glycine to regulate the expression of downstream genes. The record is from RNAcentral.
UAUCUCUGGAGACAUCCGGCAAGACCGGAGGCCGAAGGUGCAACACAUGCUGUAUUACAUGUGAAUCUCUCAGGCGAAAGGACAGAGAAU